UACGUAGGGUGCGAGCGUUAUUCGGAAUUACUGGGCGUAAAGCGCGCGCAGGCGGUUUUGUAAGCCGGAUGUGAAAUCCCCGGGCUUAACCUGGGAACUGCGCCUGUGACUGGAAGGCUAGAGUACGGCAGAGGGGGGUGGAAUUCCACGUGUAGCAGUGAAAUGCGUAGAUAUGCGGAGGAACACCGAUGGCGAAGGCAGCCCCCUGGGCUAGCACUGACGCUCAGGCACGAAAGCGUGGGGAGCAAACAGG
This 253-nucleotide ribosomal RNA is filed under the name uncultured bacterium. RNAcentral describes it as "partial 16S ribosomal RNA". It matches the Rfam family "Bacterial small subunit ribosomal RNA", at positions 524 to 776 of the family's 1533-position model. The record is from RNAcentral.